GGCAAAAUAGUUUAGUUGGUAGAACAUUAGAAUCAUAAUCUAAGAGUCGUAGGUUCGAAUCCUGCUUUUGCUA
RNAcentral lists this transfer RNA (73 nucleotides) under Palmaria palmata (dulse). RNAcentral describes it as "tRNA-Met". It matches the Rfam family "tRNA". Rfam says of the family: Transfer RNA (tRNA) molecules are approximately 80 nucleotides in length. Their secondary structure includes four short double-helical elements and three loops (D, anti-codon, and T loops). The record is from RNAcentral. Lineage: Eukaryota; Rhodophyta; Florideophyceae; Palmariales; Palmariaceae.